Molecule: ribosomal RNA, 490 nt
Filed under: uncultured bacterium
Lineage: Bacteria
Description: partial 16S ribosomal RNA
Rfam family: Bacterial small subunit ribosomal RNA
Source: RNAcentral
GAUGAACGCUAGCUACAGGCUUAACACAUGCAAGUCGCAGGGUAACAUGAGGAAAGCUUGCUUUCCUUGAUGACGACUGGCGCACGGGUGAGUAACGCGUAUCCAACCUUCCCAUAACUACGGGAUAACCCGUUGAAAGACGGCCUAAUACCGUAUGAUAUCGUUUGCUGACAUCAAAUAACGAUUAAAGGUUUAGCGGUUAUGGAUGGGGAUGCGUCUGAUUAGCUUGUUGGCGGGGUAACGGCCCACCAAGGCGACGAUCAGUAGGGGUUCUGAGAGGAAGGUCCCCCAUAUUGGAACUGAGACACGGUCCAAACUCCUACGGGAGGCAGCAGUGAGGAAUAUUGGUCAAUGGGCGAGAGCCUGAACCAGCCAAGUAGCGUGCAGGACGACGGCCCUAUGGGUUGUAAACUGCUUUUAUGUGGGGAUAAAGUGCGUGACGUGUCAUGCAUUGCAGGUACCACAUGAAUAAGGACCGGCUAAUUCCGUG